This 201-nucleotide long non-coding RNA is filed under the name Lathyrus oleraceus (garden pea). RNAcentral's name for it is "Pisum sativum (pea) long non-coding RNA (PSAT_LNC039148)". The record is from RNAcentral. Lineage: Eukaryota; Viridiplantae; Streptophyta; Magnoliopsida; Fabales; Fabaceae.
AAGACCUUUGUCCCAAGUGCAAGCUUUAUGUAGAGAAACAUUGGAUUCAAGAACUGGAGAAAAUAAUUUUGUGGUUGAUGAAGAACAAACUAGAUCUGUUACAUUUUAAAAUAUUCGGUUGAAGAAGAUGAAUAGAAACAGAGAAAGAAGAAGAUAUCUUGAAUUCAAAAGAAGGUAUAAGAAGGGGAAGAGAGAAGAAGG